RNAcentral lists this transfer RNA (76 nucleotides) under Eubacterium sp. RNAcentral describes it as "tRNA-Arg". It matches the Rfam family "tRNA". Rfam says of the family: Transfer RNA (tRNA) molecules are approximately 80 nucleotides in length. The record is from RNAcentral. RNAcentral also lists the same sequence under 1 other name. Lineage: Bacteria; Bacillati; Bacillota; Clostridia; Eubacteriales; Eubacteriaceae.
CUGCCUGUAGCACAAAGGCUAAUGCAUCAGAUUCCGAUUCUGAAGAUUUUGGGUUCGACCCCCAACAGGCAGGCCA